This 167-nucleotide non-coding RNA is filed under the name Clostridium taeniosporum. RNAcentral's name for it is "Lysine sequence". It matches the Rfam family "Lysine riboswitch aptamer". Rfam says of the family: Riboswitches are metabolite binding domains within certain messenger RNAs that serve as precision sensors for their corresponding targets. Lineage: Bacteria; Bacillati; Bacillota; Clostridia; Eubacteriales; Clostridiaceae. The record is from Rfam by way of RNAcentral.
ACCUAAGGUAGAGGAGCUGUUUAUAAAGAGUACUUAUUAGGAGUCGGCAGAUGUUGAUUAAUAAGGAAAGGUAUAAUGGCCGAAGAAAUGAAUCAAGCAAAAAUUUAUUUCUGGGUAUGCAUAAAAUAUAUGUAUAACUGUCACGUAAGUGGAGAGCUACAAGGAUG